AAAUUGAAGAGUUUGAUCAUGGCUCAGAUUGAACGCUGGCGGCAGGCCUAACACAUGCAAGUCGAACGGUAACAGGAAACAGCUUGCUGUUUCGCUGACGAGUGGCGGACGGGUGAGUAAUGUCUGGGAAACUGCCUGAUGGAGGGGGAUAACUACUGGAAACGGUAGCUAAUACCGCAUAACGUCGCAAGACCAAAGAGGGGGACCUUCGGGCCUCUUGCCAUCGGAUGUGCCCAGAUGGGAUUAGCUAGUAGG
This 255-nucleotide ribosomal RNA is filed under the name Escherichia coli. Its description in RNAcentral is "partial 16S ribosomal RNA". It matches the Rfam family "Bacterial small subunit ribosomal RNA", at positions 1 to 252 of the family's 1533-position model. Lineage: Bacteria; Pseudomonadati; Pseudomonadota; Gammaproteobacteria; Enterobacterales; Enterobacteriaceae. The record is from RNAcentral. RNAcentral also lists the same sequence under 2 other names.